This 22-nucleotide non-coding RNA is filed under the name Arabidopsis thaliana (thale cress). The record is from RNAcentral. Lineage: Eukaryota; Viridiplantae; Streptophyta; Magnoliopsida; Brassicales; Brassicaceae.
UACCAGUAUCUUAUGCGUCCUA